CCUACGGGAGGCAGCAGUGAGGAAUAUUGGUCAAUGGACGAGAGUCUGAACCAGCCAAGUAGCGUGAAGGAUGACUGCUCUAUGGGUUGUAAACUUCUUUUAUAUGGGAAUAAAACGUUUCACGUGUGGGAUUUUGUAUGUACCAUAUGAAUAAGGAUCGGCUAACUCCGUGCCAGCAGCCGCGGUAAUACGGAGGAUCCGAGCGUUAUCCGGAUUUAUUGGGUUUAAAGGGAGCGUAGGUGGAUUGUUAAGUCAGUUGUGAAAGUUUGCGGCUUAACCGUAAGAUUGCAGUUGAAACUGUCAGUCUUGAGAACAGUAGAGGUAGGCGGAAUGCGUGGUGUAGCGGUGAAAUGCUUAGAUAUCACUAAGAACACCGAUUGCGAAGGCAGUUCACUGGACUGCAACUGACACUGAGGCUCGAAAGUGUGGGUAGCAAACAGGAUUAGAUACCCUAGUAGUC
This 460-nucleotide ribosomal RNA is filed under the name uncultured bacterium. RNAcentral describes it as "partial 16S ribosomal RNA". It matches the Rfam family "Bacterial small subunit ribosomal RNA", at positions 338 to 795 of the family's 1533-position model. The record is from RNAcentral.